Molecule: ribosomal RNA, 497 nt
Filed under: uncultured bacterium
Lineage: Bacteria
Description: partial 16S ribosomal RNA
Rfam family: Bacterial small subunit ribosomal RNA
Source: RNAcentral
GAUGAACGCUGGCGGCGUGCCUAAUACAUGCCAGUCGAGCGAACGGACGAGGAGCUUGCUUCUCUGAUGUUAGCGGCGGACGGGUGAGUAACACGUGGAUAACCUACCUAUAAGACUGGGAUAACUUCGGGAAACCGGAGCUAAUACCGGAUGAUAUUUUGAACCGCAUGGUUCAAAAGUGAAAGACGGUCUUGCUGUCACUUAUAGAUGGAUCCGCGCUGCAUUAGCUAGUUGGUAAGGUAACGGCUUACCAAGGCAACGAUGCAUAGCCGACCUGAGAGGGUGAUCGGCCACACUGGAACUGAGACACGGUCCAGACUCCUACGGGAGGCAGCAGUAGGGAAUCUUCCGCAAUGGGCGAAAGCCUGACGGAGCAACGCCGCGUGAGUGAUGAAGGUCUUCGGAUCGUAAAACUCUGUUAUUAGGGAAGAACAUAUGUGUAAGUAACUGUGCACAUCUUGACGGUACCUAAUCAGAAAGCCACGGCUAACUACGUG